This 465-nucleotide ribosomal RNA is filed under the name Vreelandella stevensii. RNAcentral's name for it is "partial 16S ribosomal RNA". It matches the Rfam family "Bacterial small subunit ribosomal RNA", at positions 338 to 795 of the family's 1533-position model. The record is from RNAcentral. Lineage: Bacteria; Pseudomonadati; Pseudomonadota; Gammaproteobacteria; Oceanospirillales; Halomonadaceae.
CCUACGGGUGGCAGCAGUGGGGAAUAUUGGACAAUGGGCGAAAGCCUGAUCCAGCCAUGCCGCGUGUGUGAAGAAGGCCUUCGGGUUGUAAAGCACUUUCAGUGGGGAAGAAAGCCUUGGGGCUAAUACCCUCGAGGAAGGACAUCACCCACAGAAGAAGCACCGGCUAACUCCGUGCCAGCAGCCGCGGUAAUACGGAGGGUGUGAGCGUUAAUCGGAAUUACUGGGCGUAAAGCGCGCGUAGGCGGUCUGAUAAGCCGGUUGUGAAAGCCCCGGGCUCAACCUGGGAACGGCAUCCGGAACUGUCAGGCUAGAGUGCAGGAGAGGAAGGUAGAAUUCCCGGUGUAGCGGUGAAAUGCGUAGAGAUCGGGAGGAAUACCAGUGGCGAAGGCGGCCUUCUGGACUGACACUGACGCUGAGGUGCGAAAGCGUGGGUAGCAAACAGGAUUAGAUACCCUAGUAGUC